GAUGAAGAACGCAGCUAAAUGCGAUAAGUAAUGUGAAUUGCAGAAUUCAGUGAAUCAUCGAAUCUUUGAACGCACAUUGCGCCCCCUGGUAUUCCGGGGGGCAUGCCUGUCCGAGCGUCAUUACAACCCUCAAGCUCAGCUUGGUGUUGGGCCCCGCCGCCCCGGCGGGCCCUAAAGUCAGUGGCGGUGCCGUCCGGCUCCGAGCGUAGUAAUUCUUCUCGCUCUGGAGGUCCGGUCGUGUGCUCGCCAGCAACCCCCAAUUUUUUUCAGGUUGACCUCGGAUCAGGUAGGGAUACCCGCUGAACUUAAGCAUAUCAAUAAGCGGAGGA
Molecule: unclassified non-coding RNA, 329 nt
Filed under: soil metagenome
Description: partial contains 5.8S ribosomal RNA, internal transcribed spacer 2, and large subunit ribosomal RNA
Rfam family: 5.8S ribosomal RNA (bases 1-120)
Source: RNAcentral